GGCCUAGAUAGCUCAGUUGGUAGAGCACCUGCCUGAAGAUGCAAGGGACCCGGGUUCGAUUCCCGGUCCAGUCA
Molecule: non-coding RNA, 74 nt
Organism: Saccostrea cuccullata (small rock oyster)
Lineage: Eukaryota; Metazoa; Mollusca; Bivalvia; Ostreida; Ostreidae
Source: the annotation of a RefSeq genome assembly